This 440-nucleotide ribosomal RNA is filed under the name uncultured bacterium. Its description in RNAcentral is "partial 16S ribosomal RNA". It matches the Rfam family "Bacterial small subunit ribosomal RNA", at positions 338 to 795 of the family's 1533-position model. The record is from RNAcentral.
CCUACGGUAGGCAGCAGUGGGGAAUAUUGCACAAUGGGGGCAACCCUGAUGCAGCGACGCCGCGUGAGUGAAGGAGUACUUCGGUACGUAAAGCCCUAUCAGCAGGGAAGAAAAUGACGGUACCUGACUAAGAAGCCCCGGCUAACUACGUGCCAGCAGCCGCGGUAAUACGUAGGGGGCAAGCGUUAUCCGGAGUUACGGGGUGUAACGGGAGCGUAGACGGCAGGGCAAGUCCGGAGUGAAAGCCCGGGGCUCAACCCUGGGACUGCACUGGAAACUGUACAGCUGGAGUGCAGGAGGGGCAGGCGGAAUUCCUGGUGUAGCGGUGAAAUGCGUAGAUAUAAGGAGGAACACCAGCGGCGAAGGCGGCCUGCUGGACCGUAACUGACGUUGAGGCUCGAAAGCGUGGGGAGCAAACAGGAUUAGAUACCCGAGUAGUC